CCUCGCCCCAACGAUCAGAAUAUCCCGGGAGAUCGUGCUAAAUCGCGGCCAAUUAAUGAUUUCUUGGUGGACACCCGAGAUCCUAUGGUGAGAAGGGGCCAGAAAAUGACGAGACAACCGACACUGUAUCCUCUCUGAGAUGGUAAGAAAAGCCUUUCUGACUGUAUGCCCUUUCUCUGUUUGUUUUCUUUCCUCUUGUUAUGUGAGAUACGCCUCGACUUGGUGAGUUGAUGCUGCUUGGUCCCAUGGGCUGUAAGCCCAGGGAAGAUUUUCUAUUUAGAGGGCUUGCACUUCCAAAGCCUCCGUUUAUGCUUCUAUCAGAAAGACGCCGACUGCUAGUGCCUGGCCUUGUUCCAAAUGGGCUGUCAGGCUCAGGUACUACUUUACUCUGUACCUUCUUCUGUUCCUGCAUUUAAGAUCACCCUUGUGUAUUGAAAUAUUCUAAAAAUGCCAUAAUCACAGUUUAUAGUAGUAUAAGGGAGUAUGGAGAGAUUAGUGAAUGAGAAUGAAAAAGGUUCUGAAGAUAUUACCCGUUGUCUUUGUUUCUCCUCUUCCUUUUCCUUUCUCAACAUAUGGUACUCUUCAAGCAUUGCUAGUAGAGGAACCUGAAGUCCGGAUUUUAGUUCUAGUACAAAGGUUUAUUCAGAAACAUUGCAAAGCUGAAUAAUGAGGCAUAAAAGGCUUUGGAUUCUGAUCAUUCUGUGAAUGAAAUCAAAGUUAGUUUCCUAGAAAACUGAACAAGUGCAUGAUCAUGAAAUGAAAAACCAACUCAAGUGUGUAUAAGUUAUCCUGAGAGUGUUCUCUCUGCUGGAACGUUAUCUACCUAACCAGUUUAACACUACAAUUUCAUCACUUCUAUGAAUACCAUGUCUAUCAUAUAUCCAAGAAUGUGUCUUCACUGUUCCACAGCUUUCUAUAUAGAUAACUUUUACUUGUUAUAUUCCCCGAUCACAUGGGAAGAUGGUACGUAUUCAUUAUGCUUACAAGAAUGAUUCACUGAAGUAGCUAUUCCGAACAGUAUACCUCAUCAUACAAGAAGACUUUCUUUCUUUCAUCUUCCCAGUCCUUAGUCUUGGAUAUCAGCAAGUCCACCAAAGCUGCCAGGAGGAUGAAACAGACAAAUUUAAUAUGGUUAUCAACCCUUUUAAACUCAUCUAGUUGGUUUAGUCUUUCAUUCUAGUACAAAAUAAUGCAUUAGUAAUAAUCAUGGAGAUAACUCUUAACCUGGUAUCUUGUUGACCAUCAAUCUGGCUCGCUCAGCUCUUUUAAGGUUCUUAUGAGCACCUCUGCUAACCGAAUAGCGAUUUUCAUCCUGAAUUGGGAAAUUAGCAGCUAAGAUUUUCUUGCUGAAGGGGUUCUUAAUGUAUUUGUAUUUAAAUGAAGAAGAGAAGAAUCUGACCAUGCUGUACUCUUCUAACCAGAGCUCCUCGUCACAUGCCAAUAUCCACUUUUCAACCUUCUCCAUGAUCACCUUCCUGCUACUAGCUUCUUCUUCAGCUCUUGAUAUCUGCUCAUCCACACUUGUGAGGAGAUCGGCAUGAUCAAUCUCCCCUUUUAUAUGUAUGGCCAUGGGUCAAAUGUGAUAUAGGAGUAUGAGCUACAACUAAAAAUUUUCUUUCUAAAAAUUCAGUCUUACCAGAGUCUAUUUGGCUGAUUAUUUUUUCCAUCUCCGAUCUCGAUGGUAUUUCCAUGUGUGAUUUUCUGCAUAUGUCCUCGAGCUCUAUUUGUUUCUUGAAGAAAAACUCUUUCAUCUUGCUUGCUUUCAACUGAUCCAGUCUCUUCACUUCAGUGCCAGCCUUGAAAACGAUUUAUAAUCAAAUUAAAUCAUUUCUAGCAUAUAAUUCUAGAGAAGUAUCUGACGGUAUACCUGCUGCACCAUGUCAAGAGUAAGGCUUCCGGGAGUGGAUAUCUCCGCUGAUGCCAUCGAUGAUAGAUUGGCAACACGCAGAAAUUCUUGACGAUCUUUAUAGGGUGUAUCCAUGAGACUCCACAAAUUAGACAAUGCUUUACCAAGUUGUUGCAGCUGAAUAAAUAAAUCAACUAAAUAUAGUUAAUAUGCUAAAUCAUACAUAUAUUUUGAUUUGAACCAGCUUACUAUCUGAAAUUUGCACAAGAUAUAAAAAAAUCAAUUACCUUGUUAAACCGUGUUUGUUUUUCUGAUUGAAGGGACUUCACUGUUCUAUCAAGCUUUUCCAGGAUACCAUCACUAAUGUUCUUUGACAAUCCUGAUAAUUCGUUCAAGCUUGGGUGCACCUUUGUUAUGAUCGAUGAAGAAUCCAUUCCUAAAGUGGCUGACAAAUUUCUAAUUGUGCUUAUGCAGUUUUCCAUCCUCUGAAGUCUGUCGCUCUUUUGAUAGGGAUACAAACAUGCAAGAAAACAAAUAAAAGUGAUUGGUUUCUCAAUUUUUUAUUUAGCCCCUAACAACAUAUUUUCACUAGAGUACCUUCUCACUCUGAAGUCUCUGAAGCUCAUUUUGGAACUCCUCAAGUUUCUUAAGUGAAAGAUCAUUCUCAUUGACACAAACAGGUGAUGUUGAAUCGUUAUACUCUGUCCACCCUGCAAUUUCUGCAGAAAUUUUAUGAAUUUGCCCUUGUACAACACGGAAUUGCUUUACUCGCUCUUCUUUCCUUAACUGCAUCUCUCUUAGUGCUGGGGUUAUAGAAUUCAGUUGCUCUUUCAGCGUUCCUUCCAUUUUCUCUGGCUGUCGAGGAUGAAAAAGGUACUUGAAUCAAAACAUAACAGUACAUAUUUUAAAGCUUUUCUCCUGCUAAGAUCUAUAAAUAUUGUUUGCUGUAAUGCAAAAAUAUCAGAUUGUCAAGCUUCCUUCCCCUGUAAUGUUACAUUAAUAGAUGUUUUAAAUUAGUUUUUUUACAUAAUUGCAAUAUUUUCAUUUUUUUUAACAUUAUGAUUGUCUCUUGAUCUUCAUGCAGAAAGCAUUGAGAGUAUUUUUCAUGUUUCAUAUUAUUAGGUUUCUGUUAAAUUAUGUGAUCAUGACCAAGAGCUACAACUAUAUUGGCUCUUCCAUGAUACAGUACUGAAUGAGUUGCUUAUACAAAGGUUUCGAUUUAACUGGUUUGUAGUGUAUAUCUUACCCUUCCUGGCAGUGAUCUCUCUCCAAGGGAGAGGAGGAGAUGCGUAAACUCAGCCUCGGAUUCUGCAAGCUGCUGAUGUAGUCGAGCUCGUGAAAUGUUAGCUCUGUCAACUUUACGUCUAUAAAUCUCGAGGCACUCCUGUUCAAGAUCCAGCAGAAACUUUUCCCGCUCUAAUUUGUCUUCUCCGAUUUCAUCCCAUAUGAUCUGCAAGCGAAAGGCCCGUGUUACAACAAUCCGCAAGUAGCCACACGACGUCUCCAGCAAUGCUAAACUUCCCAUCCCACCAUUUGAUUUCUCUAAGGAUCCCAUCAAGAGAAUCUGUUGUGAUGAGAUGAUGAAAGACUAGAGAUUUAGCAGUCGUUUCCUAGAAGCGACUAGUGUUGUCUCGUACCACAAGAGCAGUUUUAAAAAGUAGAGAGAUGGAGGGACCAUAGUGAGGUGGGACUUUGGUUUUGGGAGUGAAUAUUUGCUUGAAAGAUAAGGUUUCACUGGUGGGUGACAGUGGAACUUUAGGCUCAAGGAUUCUUUGUUGCUUUUGAUCUUUGAGGACUUGAUUCUCAAGCAAAGCUCUCUGGAAAAAGGGGAAAAAGAAAUGGUAAGGCAUCUUAUAUUUGUGCUUGAGAAUCUUGUAGUAUUAGAUUAUCAUAUGAGAAUCCACUUUUCUUGGAAACUUACUCAUUUUAUCUCAGAUAAUUAGUAAAGUCACAUUUACUAAUGUUAUGUUA
This is a non-coding RNA of Salvia hispanica, 3817 nucleotides long. Lineage: Eukaryota; Viridiplantae; Streptophyta; Magnoliopsida; Lamiales; Lamiaceae. The record is from RefSeq and is a predicted model, not a curated record.